Molecule: long non-coding RNA, 474 nt
Organism: Ziziphus jujuba (common jujube)
Lineage: Eukaryota; Viridiplantae; Streptophyta; Magnoliopsida; Rosales; Rhamnaceae
Exons: 3
Source: RefSeq, a predicted model, not a curated record
CUUUUGUCCUGCUCUCUCUCGAAGCUUUCAUGAAGAAGCUCUCGUCCUCCCACCCGAAGUUGUUUCUGCCGGACUAUUCGCCGCCUCUCUUCGAGUUGUCGCUGGAUCGUUCGCUGCUUCUCUUCGAUUUGAAACUCCCGGGAUUUGGUUCACAACAUUAGGGCUUCCAUUUCACACCUAUUAGGGCUUCCAUUUGUAAAAUUAGGGCUUCGAUUUGUGAGAAUAAGGGCUUAAAUUUGUGAUCUACAGCGCAACUUCUACGAAUUUGAAAGGUCCAAAAAGCUAUGUUGGUCUUGAAUUUCUGCUAUAACGUGUACUUCAUCCUAUAAAUUGUUUUGUCAUGUGAGAUUGGCUUGGUUGUUAAGCCAUGUACAUCAAUGAUUAUUUGAGCCACCAGGUGGGGGUGGAUAGAUGUGAAUAGUUGUAUAUGAUCAAAUAAUGUAAAGACUUGCACCUGUUAACAGCUUUUAUAAA